UGUGAAAUUAUAUCAUUCUGUUAAAUUAAUUGGACGACCGUCAAUUAUUUUUGUACGUGGCAACACAUAGAAAAAAAGAAAUAAAAAUAUUAAUUAUGUGUUAAAAUAAUAAUUAAUAAAAUUGAAACAAAAAUUCUGAUUCAUUUUCUUUAUAAUAUCUUUUCUUUUUCUUUCUCUCUUCUUGUGGCCGGGUCUUGAUUCUUCUCUUCAUCUUCUUUAUUCAUGAGAGUAGACCAUGACAGUAGACCAUGAUAGUGUCCAUUAACAUCUCUUGAUUUCUUUGUUGAAGCCCUGAACAAAUGCAAAACAUAACCUUUAAUUCCUUUUAAAUCUACAUCAAAUUAAUAGGAUGAUGAUGAAGGUAUGAUGAAUGUGGAUUUGUUUCAAUGGUGGUUUUUGUUCAAUUAAUAAACCCAUUAUCCAUACUUCUUGGUUAUUGUAAGGAAUUGGAGAAGUAAGACUGAAAUUAUCAAAGGAAUUCAGGGUAGGAGGGACCUUAAAUUGAGUUAAGAGAGAGCAGUUAGAGUGAAGAAGAAGACGGAAGAGAAUAAAGAGAUAGAACCCUAGAGAGAGAAAGGAAAUAUCACAUUAUCAUUCAUUAAUCUCCAAAUAGAAUUACAACUCAGCUAUAUACCUACAUUAGAAUACCACUAUUACAAUUAUGCCCCCACUAAUUCUUAUAUUUAUUUUCAUAUCCUUACAUAUUCCUUUCAUUCCCUGCUCCUCAAAAACACCCUUGCCCUCAAGGUUGAUCAACAAGGAACUAAGAAAAUGCAAACAAUUACCAACUAAACAGGCCAGCAGAGAAAAAAUAUUAAAAAUUCCAUCGUCUUGAACUCGUUGUCUGAUUUUGUCAUGUUGAUAAAAUCAGUAUGACAAUUGUUGUUGGUUUCAGCACGAAAUUUGACCACAGUGAAGUUGCUCACAUCAUUGUUGAGGAAAAAUUUUCAAACAAGUGGGCAACCCAAAUUGUCUAUAUGCAAUUCCAAAUUAAUAACCAGAAGUUGCAAAGCUUUCUUUAGAGUUUUCUGGCACCAUAAACCAAUCCUAAAAAAUUCCCAUCAAGGGAAUUUGUCAAAACUCCACCAUGAAUACUCCACCACCACGUCUUUCCUUACUUUCUCACAUCGAGCAUAAACUGUAUAGCAAAAGGAGCAACCCAAAGAGCAAAAUGACAAUACAUUUGGUGCUUCCAUGCAAUAUGAUUCCAUUGACGCUUGUCAACAUUAACGUAAAACUGUCUGAUACCCGCAAGAGCAAGCUCAUCACGUUUCACAAGAAUCCUCACAAGCUUAUUCAUGAAUUUCCUUGUAAUUUCAAAAGCUUCAGGAGGCAUGGAGGCAGAGAAAACCCCCACCUGAAUUUUGGUUGGUAGCAACUGAAAAAUAGCACAACAUAUCUGGUCCUUGAAACCUCCCAAAAGUAUUUCAUCAGCUUUGUCCAGCACAAACAAUUUGAUGUAAUCCGAACGAAGUGUUUGCCUCCGCAACAUGUCAUAUGAAGCUUUAUAGUCUAAAACCAUGCACUCAUCUGCUUUUUCAACCAAUUGAUGAACCAGCAAAGUUGCAUUGUAAGGCUCAGCCACAUUAUUAAAUACCAGAAAUCCUUGUAGACAAUCACAAUUCUUGGCUUCUCUCCUCACAACAUCUAGCAUAGAACCAAUGAACUCAGUUCCUUCAAUGUAAUGCCUCUUUGCCUAGUUGUUACCCAUAUCAGAUUGGACAAAAACAAAGUUAUUUAGACAAAAGAUUUGAACCAUUCUCUUAUUUAACUCAAGUUGUGAGUCUAUGUAGUCAAAAAUUUGACUCUCCUGAGCUAGCUUAUAGAACUUGUACAUAUCCUUCACAUAUUCAACAACUACCAAUUUUUCAAAAACAUCUACGAAAUCAACAAUAUGCUCCUUUGGUUUCUUAGUUAACCCACAAAUAACACUCAUUGGAAUUUCGGCCCCACCUCCACUAUCAUUGUACUUUGGCGGAUAUUGAUUAGUUAUAACAUACAAAUAACCAUCCUUCUCGGUAUAACCAAAAUUUAGAACACUCCUAGGCAUUUCAUCAAAUACCUUGCACGCAACCCCAAUUUCUUUUUUAUUUGCAAAAAACAUUCCUACUUCAGUGUUGGUGGACAAGCUAGGAGAUGAAAAGUCAAUGUGAGAAACAGAUAUCACCUUAUCAUGAAUUGAUUCAGCGCAAACUAGGUUGACGAGUGAGAUUGGGUCAUCAAUUUCUGCCAGAAAAUUCCCAUGACCUCCAAUCUCAGGAACAAUCAAAUCAACAUUUUGUUGAAUCUGCAAUUGUGUUUGAUUGCUUUCUUCCUCCUGAAAAUCUAGAUCCACAUCACCUUCAUCAUUAAUGUCUUGAUAUACUGAAUUUAAGGAAUUUGUUGCUUCACAUAAGCAAUCAUCCUCUUCCGUAUAGCCACAAAUAAGCACUUUUUGAUCAUGCUUUGGAAUGGAAGCUCUUAAGUCAUUAAAUUUCUUCAUAACUUGUUUGAACUCUUCAUCCAUAGAACUCUGCAGUCCUUUCAUUAAUUCUCGAAUUUUCUCAAAAUUGUUUUCUAGGGUUGCAGAAUUUUGAUUUUCCGUUGUAUUAUGUCUGGGAUUGAAAUGGCUUUGAUACCAAUUGUAAGGAAUUGGAGAAGUAAGACUGGAAUUAUCAAAGGAAUUCAGGGUAGGAGGGACCUUAAAUUGAGUUAAGAGAGAGCAGUUAGAGUGAGAAGAAAACGGAAGAGAAUAAAGAGAUAGAACCCUAGAGAGAGAAAGGAAAUAUCACAUUAUCAUUCAUUAAUCUCCAAAUAGAAUUACAACUCAACUAUAUACCUACAUUAGAAUACCACUAUUACAAUUAUGCCCCCACUAAUUCUUAUAUUUAUUUUCAUAUCCUUACCUAUUCCUUACAGUUAAUUUGUAUUGAAAGUUAUUUUCAUGCUGAGAAUCUAAUUCUCAGAUUCACAGUAGAUGAGAUUCAUCUCUCAAAUAGAAGCACUUGACCCAAAUCAUCAUUUUUUCAAUUAUAACUCAUGGAAGCACCUAUGAUUAGUCCAUAUCUGCUCCAUUUUUUGCAUUCUUUUGCAAAGUAGAUUACAUAUUAUGAUAGGUCUUGUUGAUCAGAAGAUUUUGACAUUCUUAUUUCAUGCUUUAGAGUAAAAAUAAGAGAGUUAUGUAUCUCAACCCGUUUAAUAAGUGUUUUGGUCAGGUUUUAACCGGCUAGAGGUUGGAUGACAACUUUUUUGAGACUUUUAAAAUAUUUUAUUUUUUAAAAUGUCACUUGCAAACCAACUUUUUUUCCCCUCUGACUUGUCCCUUUUUAUUUUCCAUGUCAUUUCUUUAAAUUUUUGUUUUUCUUUUUACACAGCCAUGAAGGAAAAAGUUAACAUCUGUCCAAUAACUUUAAUGAAAUGGUAUAAUUUCAUAAUUUUUAUAAGUUUAAUCUGAUAAUUACAAAUUUUAAACUUUUAGUGGGCUAUCGCAUAAAAUGUGUCAAGUACAGUGGAUUAAAUGUUAGUUAAUUAAUUCGCAAAUGCAGCGUUUCGGAUCAAACACACCGCACCAAAAAUGGUGUAGUGAGUUUGGUGUGCACCAAAUCCUACCACUGCAAAAGAUGCAAGCGCGAGUAACCAAACAAACUAACGUGUGCGAUCAGCUUAAGGAUAGGUUUGGAACUUGGAAAACUUAAGGGAAAAUGAAAGAACAAGAUUUAUCUUCAUUAAAAUACCUUUUCCCGGCCUUUGUUUUAACCUUUUUCCUAUCUUUUCAUCCAUAGUUUCCAAGUUGCAAACGUACCUUAAAUUGGUAAAACAAAGGCUAGGCUAUGAAAAUAGCAAAUCAAGUUUUUAUAAGGCUUUUAUAAACUAUAAAGACAGCUUUGCAUCCCUUUCUAACAUGGUAGUUUCAAACCAAAAAGUCUUGGCCACUUGUAUCAAACUGAUUAUGCUCUCAUGGGUAAAUGAAGGGCAUUAGCCAAAAGUACAUAAUAUAAGGAUACACGUGCCACUCAUUUAGUCUUUAUAUCUCCGGCUUUCAAAAACUUAGAAUUGUGGAUGCAUUUUGCUUUAUCAUGUAGUAAAUUGAACACAAUUUAUAAAUUACAUAUGUCGACUUAAAAACUUAAAAAUAUUCCUAUGUUACAAUAUCAAAAACAAUUAAAUAGAAUUAAAAUUUUAAAUAGGAAAAGAUUCAGUGGUUCAAUUGUUGUAGGAGACGUGCAUCAUUCGAGUAUAUAGAUCAUGAGAAUUCUGAUAUUAGCUUACUCUUUUGAAAUCAUAACAGGCUUCUGAAUCAAACUUGAGGAGUCAAUCCGGCACAGAGGCUUGAUAGAUCAGCAUCCAAAG
Molecule: long non-coding RNA, 4329 nt
Filed under: Panax ginseng (ginseng)
Lineage: Eukaryota; Viridiplantae; Streptophyta; Magnoliopsida; Apiales; Araliaceae
Description: long non-coding RNA (PGIN_LNC018279)
Source: RNAcentral